This is a long non-coding RNA of Dreissena polymorpha, 654 nucleotides long. RefSeq lists it as uncharacterized. The transcript is spliced from 2 exons. The record is from RefSeq and is a predicted model, not a curated record. Lineage: Eukaryota; Metazoa; Mollusca; Bivalvia; Myida; Dreissenidae.
UAGAAUGAAUGACCUUGAAAUGACCAGUGGUCAUCUAAGUGUGCUUGCAAACCUUCAUGUCAAGUUUGAAGACUCUAUGUCCAAGCAUACCAAAGUUAUAACAAUUUUAACAUUUUAACAUUUAAGGUCACAGUGACCUUGACCUUCAAAUGAAUGACAUUGAAAUGACCAGUGGUCAUCUUCUAGUACUGGCCAAUCUUUAUUUCAAGUUUGAAGACUCUAGGUACAAGCAUACCAAAGUUAUAACAUGAAAUAAGAACUUUAACAUUUUUACAUUCAAGGUCACAGUGACCUUGACCUUCAAAUGAAUGACCUUGAAAUGUCCAGUGGUUACUUACUAGUUCUGGCCAACCUUCAUGUCAAGUUUCAAGACUCUAGGUCCAAGCAUACCAAAGUUAUAACAACUUUAACAUUUUUAUAUAGCUACAGUAGGACAUUCAAUGAAAUCACGAAAUUUUGACGAACAAAGUCCCAUAACUCUGGAACGACAAUUCAGAAUUCCGUCAAAAACGAAAGGGGAUCAGGGUUUAUCAAUAUUAAGAUUGUGUUAAAAUUUGAAGAAAAUCUGUCAAAGGAUAUUUGACGUAGCGUACGACAUUAACAGACGGACGGACGGACGGACGCGGGGUAUACCAUAAUACGUCCCGUCAUAGA